GAGGGUAUAGCUCAGUGGUAGAGUGUGUGCUUAGCAUGCACGAGGUCCUGGGUUCAAUCCUCAGGACUUCCA
Molecule: transfer RNA, 72 nt
Filed under: Camelus dromedarius (Arabian camel)
Lineage: Eukaryota; Metazoa; Chordata; Mammalia; Artiodactyla; Camelidae
Also listed under: 1 other name
Rfam family: tRNA
About the family: Transfer RNA (tRNA) molecules are approximately 80 nucleotides in length. Their secondary structure includes four short double-helical elements and three loops (D, anti-codon, and T loops).
Source: Rfam by way of RNAcentral